CUACCCCUCAAGCGCGGCUUGUGUGUUGGGCGCUGUCCCCCCCCUUUUUCGGGGGGGGGGACAGGCCUGAAAGGCAGUGGCGGCGUCGCGUCCGGUCCUCGAGCGUAUGGGGCUUUGUCACCCGCUCUGUGAGGAUCCGGCCGGGGCCUGUCUCACCCCCAAUCUUCUCUAA
RNAcentral lists this unclassified non-coding RNA (172 nucleotides) under uncultured Trichocomaceae. RNAcentral describes it as "sequence contains ITS2". Lineage: Eukaryota; Fungi; Ascomycota; Eurotiomycetes; Eurotiales; Trichocomaceae. The record is from RNAcentral.